GGGUUGUGAGGUUAAGCGACUAAGCGUACACGGUGGAUGCCCUGGCAGUCAGAGGCGAUGAAGGGCGUGCUAAUCUGCGAUAAGCGCCGGUAAGGUGAUAUGAACCGUUAUAACCGGCGAUACCCGAAUGGGGAAACCCAGUGUGACUCGUCACACUAUCAUUAACUGAAUCCAUAGGUUAAUGAGGCGAACCGGGGGAACUGAAACAUCUAAGUACCCCGAGGAAAAGAAAUCAACCGAGAUUCCCCCAGUAGCGGCGAGCGAACGGGGAGGAGCCCAGAGCCUGAAUCAGCAUAUGUGUUAGUGGAAGCGUCUGGAAAGGCGCGCGAUACAGGGUGACAGCCCCGUACACAAAAGCGCAUGUGCUGUGAGCUCGAUGAGUAGGGCGGGACACGUGGUAUCCUGUCUGAAUAUGGGGGGACCAUCCUCCAAGGCUAAAUACUCCUGACUGACCGAUAGUGAACCAGUACCGUGAGGGAAAGGCGAAAAGAACCCCGGCGAGGGGAGUGAAAAAGAACCUGAAACCGUGUACGUACAAGCAGUGGGAGCCCCACCACUAAGCCAGUGGUGAACUCCACAUACGCAUCCUUUGCUGAGGAUACGGUUAACGGAGCGAAAGCGACGUUCAACCUCAAAAGAAGCAGAGGGGGCUUAGUGGUGGGGUGACUGCGUACCUUUUGUAUAAUGGGUCAGCGACUUAUAUUCUGUAGCAAGGUUAACCGAAUAGGGGAGCCGGAGGGAAACCGAGUCUUAAUUGGGCGUUAAGUUGCAGGGUAUAGACCCGAAACCCGGUGAUCUAGCCAUGGGCAGGUUGAAGGUUGGGUAACACUAACUGGAGGACCGAACCGACUAAUGUUGAAAAAUUAGCGGAUGACCUGUGGCUGGGGGUGAAAGGCCAAUCAAACCGGGAGAUAGCUGGUUCUCCCCGAAAGCUAUUUAGGUAGCGCCUCGUGAAUUCAUCUCCGGGGGUAGAGCACUGUUUCGGCUAGGGGGCCAUCCCGGCUUACCAACCCGAUGCAAACUGCGAAUACCGGAGAAUGUUAUCACGGGAGACACACGGCGGGUGCUAACGUCCGUCGUGAAGAGGGAAACAACCCAGACCGCCAGCUAAGGUCCCAAAGUCAUGGUUAAGUGGGAAACGAUGUGGGAAGGCCCAGACAGCCAGGAUGUUGGCUUAGAAGCAGCCAUCAUUUAAAGAAAGCGUAAUAGCUCACUGGUCGAGUCGGCCUGCGCGGAAGAUGUAACGGGGCUAAACCAUGCACCGAAGCUGCGGCAGCGACGCUUAUGCGUUGUUGGGUAGGGGAGCGUUCUGUAAGCCUGUGAAGGUGGCCUGUGAGGGUUGCUGGAGGUAUCAGAAGUGCGAAUGCUGACAUAAGUAACGAUAAAGCGGGUGAAAAGCCCGCUCGCCGGAAGACCAAGGGUUCCUGUCCAACGUUAAUCGGGGCAGGGUGAGUCGACCCCUAAGGCGAGGCCGAAAGGCGUAGUCGAUGGGAAACGGGUUAAUAUUCCCGUACUUGGUGUUACUGCGAAGGGGGGACGGAGAAGGCUAUGUUGGCCGGGCGACGGUUGUCCCGGUUUAAGCGUGUAGGUGUGUGUUCCAGGUAAAUCCGGUUCACUUUAACACUGAGGCGUGACGACGAGGCACUACGGUGCUGAAGCAACAAAUGCCCUGCUUCCAGGAAAAGCCUCUAAGCAUCAGGUAACACGAAAUCGUACCCCAAACCGACACAGGUGGUCAGGUAGAGAAUACCAAGGCGCUUGAGAGAACUCGGGUGAAGGAACUAGGCAAAAUGGUGCCGUAACUUCGGGAGAAGGCACGCUGACACGUAGGUGAAGUGAUUUACUCAUGGAGCUGAAGUCAGUCGAAGAUACCAGCUGGCUGCAACUGUUUAUUAAAAACACAGCACUGUGCAAACACGAAAGUGGACGUAUACGGUGUGACGCCUGCCCGGUGCCGGAAGGUUAAUUGAUGGGGUCAGCGCAAGCGAAGCUCCUGAUCGAAGCCCCGGUAAACGGCGGCCGUAACUAUAACGGUCCUAAGGUAGCGAAAUUCCUUGUCGGGUAAGUUCCGACCUGCACGAAUGGCGUAAUGAUGGCCAGGCUGUCUCCACCCGAGACUCAGUGAAAUUGAACUCGCUGUGAAGAUGCAGUGUACCCGCGGCAAGACGGAAAGACCCCGUGAACCUUUACUAUAGCUUGACACUGAACAUUGAGCCUUGAUGUGUAGGAUAGGUGGGAGGCUUUGAAGUGUGGACGCCAGUCUGCAUGGAGCCGGCCUUGAAAUACCACCCUUUAAUGUUUGAUGUUCUAACGUGGACCCGUGAUCCGGGUUGCGGACAGUGUCUGGUGGGUAGUUUGACUGGGGCGGUCUCCUCCUAAAGAGUAACGGAGGAGCACGAAGGUUGGCUAAUCCUGGUCGGACAUCAGGAGGUUAGUGCAAUGGCAUAAGCCAGCUUGACUGCGAGCGUGACGGCGCGAGCAGGUGCGAAAGCAGGUCAUAGUGAUCCGGUGGUUCUGAAUGGAAGGGCCAUCGCUCAACGGAUAAAAGGUACUCCGGGGAUAACAGGCUGAUACCGCCCAAGAGUUCAUAUCGACGGCGGUGUUUGGCACCUCGAUGUCGGCUCAUCACAUCCUGGGGCUGAAGUAGGUCCCAAGGGUAUGGCUGUUCGCCAUUUAAAGUGGUACGCGAGCUGGGUUUAGAACGUCGUGAGACAGUUCGGUCCCUAUCUGCCGUGGGCGCUGGAGAACUGAGGGGGGCUGCUCCUAGUACGAGAGGACCGGAGUGGACGCAUCACUGGUGUUCGGGUUGUCAUGCCAAUGGCACUGCCCGGUAGCUAAAUGCGGAAGAGAUAAGUGCUGAAAGCAUCUAAGCACGAAACUUGCCCCGAGAUGAGUUCUCCCUGAGACUUUAGGUCUCCUGAAGGAACGUUGAAGACGACGACGUUGAUAGGCCGGGUGUGUAAGCGCAGCGAUGCGUUGAGCUAACCGGUACUAAUGAACCGUGAGGCUUAACCUUACAACGCCGAAG
This 3028-nucleotide ribosomal RNA is filed under the name Salmonella enterica. Its description in RNAcentral is "bacterial LSU rRNA". It matches the Rfam family "Bacterial large subunit ribosomal RNA". Lineage: Bacteria; Pseudomonadati; Pseudomonadota; Gammaproteobacteria; Enterobacterales; Enterobacteriaceae. The record is from RNAcentral.